RNAcentral lists this ribosomal RNA (342 nucleotides) under uncultured bacterium. Its description in RNAcentral is "bacterial SSU rRNA". It matches the Rfam family "Bacterial small subunit ribosomal RNA", at positions 335 to 674 of the family's 1533-position model. The record is from RNAcentral.
ACUCCUACGGGAGGCAGCAGUGAGGAAUAUUGGUCAAUGGAGGGAACUCUGAACCAGCCAUCCCGCGUGUAGGAAGACGGCCUUCUGGGUUGUAAACUGCUUUUACCAGGGGAUAAAAGAUCUUGCGAGAUUAAUUGAAGGUACCUGGAGAAUAAGCACCGGCUAACUACGUGCCAGCAGCCGCGGUAAUACGUAGGGUGCAAGCGUUGUCCGGAUUUAUUGGGUUUAAAGGGUGCGUAGGCGGGCUAUUAAAGUCAGUGGUGAAAAUCCAGCAGCUUAACUGUUGAUGUGCCAUUGAUACUGGUAGUCUUGAGUACAGAUGAGGUAGGCGGAAAUUGACAG